Molecule: long non-coding RNA, 1162 nt
Organism: Sphaeramia orbicularis (orbiculate cardinalfish)
Lineage: Eukaryota; Metazoa; Chordata; Actinopteri; Kurtiformes; Apogonidae
Exons: 3
Source: RefSeq, a predicted model, not a curated record
UGGAGGAUUAUCUGCGGAUCUGCAGCCGGACUGGCGGUGCUAGGAGAGACAGGAGACUGGUGAAGGAGAUAACAGGCUGUGUGCAAAGACAGGCGAGGAAAUGACGAUAUCUGUGUUGCACCCACCUCUGCUUCCCUGAGCUGGGGAGCUGCUCCCACACAACGAGGUCAUGACCUCCGGUGACCCACCGGUGGUCUCCACUCCCCGUGGUCCAAGCUGCAAAGCAAAGGACUCUGGGAGCAUCAGGCCAGGUCAGAGAGGCCAGGUAGCGACACUGAGGCAGAGAGAAUACUGGAGGGAGAGGAGGAGCAGGAGAUAAAGGGAUAAAGUCUUCCCAUCCAAUUCCAGAGCUCACCAGUCCUCCAGUGCAGGAUCUUGAGCCAGGCUCGACCAUAAGCCAGGAAAACUCUGUCUCCGCGGGGGCUAAGGGUCAGACGCCCGCCCGACUCCCCUCCGCAGCCCGUUAACUGGCCGUUCCAGUGGUAGAGCAGCCUCAGGGGGUCUCGAUCUGAACACCGGUUCUCCCACACAGACACCCCUCCCUCAGCCGAGCCGCUGAACACCAGCGGACCCUGAGACUGUAGAGGGCACAAGAGGCACGGUUGUCAUGGAGAUCUGAGUCUUUACCCAGUGUGUUUAUGUGUAAUUGUGUUUAUGUGUGGAGCAAAAAGCAGAGAGAGUAUGAAUGUUUGUGUAAAUGGAAAAGAAGUGUGCGACAGUUUUAGAAUGUACAUUUCUGUGAUGCUCUUGGUUAUAAAUGGAUUGUGUGUUUUGCAUAACAAACAACAAAGAGGAUGACAAUGAUGCGCUAUGCUUUCAUGCCUCAGGCAUAUUUUGAUGAUUGCAAAUCGAGAAAAAUGUGCAUAUGCAGCCCUGGAUUUCAAUAUUCAUAAAAGCCUUUUUACUGAAAAUAUGUACAGUAUCCUUGCUAAAAUUGGCUGAGCUCCACAGUUUACAUCUCUACAAAAUAUCUUUUGAUUUCCAUGUGAAAGUAAUAAACAAGAAAAGCUAAGAGGACAAGAGUGUAAAAAUGUAGCAGCUUGAUUUCUUGUGGAGAUGCUUUUCAGAAAAUAAUUUAUUAAGUGCUUUAGACAGCCUCUGUAGAGAAUCUGCUGGGUUUUUUUCUACUAGAUUCAAAACAAAAACAGCUGGAGAAUCUUCA